This is a long non-coding RNA of Crotalus tigris (Tiger rattlesnake), 2338 nucleotides long. RefSeq lists it as uncharacterized. Lineage: Eukaryota; Metazoa; Chordata; Lepidosauria; Squamata; Viperidae. The record is from RefSeq and is a predicted model, not a curated record. The transcript has 3 exons.
UGGAGCAGCGGAGGCACACGCGGAAACGUGCCGCUGGGACCAGCCCAGUUCUUGGGGUGGGCUGGAGGAGCGGAGACUGCAAUGCGCGUCGCCUGACUCCCAACAGUACAGCACCGUCAGCGCUGAGCCACGGAGCUUCGCUGCAGGCCCUUCCUGCCCAUUGAUUGGCUUACGCGGAAAGAGCCUGAAUCAGCGGAUCUGGCGGCGGGGAGACGGAGAGCAGCCGGGGACGCAGGGGAAACGGAUGCCAGCGCCAGGUCCUUCAGCGGAAAAGCGGAAUGGGCGAGGGCGACUCAGGUUCAGACGCACUUAGCCCCUCGGACUCGCCCUCCCAGUCUUCCAGGUGGUCCUGAGGGAAAACUACCUUGUGAUCUUGGACAGUCAUAAAAAGAGGCGGGCGGGGACCGGGGGGGGAAUUUAUAAUGCAGGCAUGGAGUCCUGCUCUCGCAAAAUGAGCUACCUGAGAAAUCUUCUUGUCUAUAUAAUAGGCAACACCUGUGUACUACCUUGGCCUGCUCUUCCGGCUGAAAUUUGACCCUUUUUACGCCCAUUGCCCUACCACUUGGCUAUUUAAUUUUGGGAGCAUUUAACAGUAUGACUGGUUUGCUGAUGCAGCUGUUCCACAUUCUCAAAUCCCAAUUAACCCUCAUCUCUGGCAAGGAUGGAAAAAAGACCUGAGUCCUGGCAAGAGAAGAAGACUGCUUAAUGGCUUAUUAGGCUAUUCUUACAAAACAGAACACAAGUUCCGCAAAGUAACCAGGGCUUGCCAGAGGUUUCUUGCCUCAUAAGUAAGGAGUAAGAGAACACACUCUUCCUGGCUUCCCUAGACACUAUACACCUUAGCCUUCCAAUGAAAUUCAGCACCACUUACAUUGGAGCCAAUAUUAAUGGUAGAGAGAAACUGAUAUCUAUUGGAUAGAAACAAACCCAUACAAUUCAGCACAUACACCAUUACUUAGCCAUUGGAACAACAUGUCUAUGAAGAUUCUCAAUACUCCAGGUCUUGUUUGUCCCAAAAGUGUUUUUCAAAAGGCAACUGGACUUUCUUGGUUUUUUUCCUUUCACUUCUCAUCCAAGAAGCUUCUUCACUUCUGAAGAACUGAACAAUUGGAGCAAUAGUUCAGAUUUGAUGGGAUGAAAGUUCCUUGAAUUUGAAUUACCAACAUGCCUCUAAAAGAAGCUAAUGCAACUCUUAUAAAAUGCUUAAUUAGGAUCUAAAAACACCAAAGGAACCCUACAGAAAUGGAAAGAAUGUCAGGAAACAGCCAGGUAACUCAGAAUUGUGGAAUUGGCAUUAAGAAAAACAAAGCUCAGAACAAGCUAAGAUUAGCAAAAGAAGCUAACAUUAACAAAAUUAGUGUAAAAUAACAAAACAUAUUCUUUAAAUAUGUUUGAAAUAAUAUGUUCAAAAUAAAAAGAAAAGAACAUAAUCAGUAUGCUGGUUGCUCAAUGGAGAGAGCAAGACUAACAAGUAGUAAAGAAAAAAAUAUUCAAUGUUUAAUUAGGUUCAAUCUCCUCCAUCAAAAAAGAUUUUGUUCCAAAAGGUAAUUGUGAAGAGUGGGUGAAAGGGUGUGAUUAGCUUUGGACAAGAAAUAUGAUCAGGAAAUGUUUCUUUGGUUCAAUUGAAUUUAAAUUUUCAGGACCAAAUUAAUUACAUCUUAGGACCCUGAAGAAACAACUGAUGCUCUGAUGAAACCUCUAUUUAUCAUCUUUGAGAAAUCCUAGAGAACUGAAGAGUGCCAAGUGAUUGUAGGAAAGUAGAUGUUCCAAUCUUUUUGUAAAAGGGGGAAGGAGUAAUCUAGGACACUAGGGAAGAUCCUAAAGCACAUCAUGGUUAGGCUACAAAGUAUGUAACUUGAAAAGAAUCUGAUGAUUACAAAAAAAAAAAAAAAUUGGCAUGGAUUUAACAGGAACAGAUUUCACCAAACAAAAUAUUUCAAAUUUUCAUAUUUUAUAUUUAUGACUUUUUAAAGAAGACAUGAUCAGAUAUGCUUAAUGAUACAAAACUGGGUCAUUGUAGAUGACACAAAGUUGGGUUGAAUAAAAUUCAAAAUAAUUUUGAUAAGAAAAAAUGGAUAAAGGUAAGGGAAUGAAAUAUAACAGGGAAAAAUGCCUAAGUUUUUUAUUUAUAGAACUAAACCCUAAUACACAGAUAUAGGAUAAAUUGGCUUAGUAAUAGACUAAUGAAAAUUAUAUUGGAAUAGUAAUUGCAAACCAACAUGAGCCAGGAAACUAAUGACACAGUAAAUAAGGCAAAUAUAAUUUCAGACUGGAUCAAUAGUAUAAUUUUCAAAUCACAGGAAGUAAUCGUAUUUUCACUACAUCAGUAUUUCUCAAC